GACGAACGCUGGCGGCGUGCCUGACACAUGCAAGUCGGACGGUUCUUGUAUCUUCAAGCUUGCUUGCAGGUGCAAGGAUAGUGGCGGACGGGUGAGUAACGCGUGAACAUCUACCCAUUGGAGGGGGACAACCCGUCGAAAGGCGGGCUAAUACCGCGUAAGCCGCGAGGUGAGAGGCUGCCUAUUGGUGGCCGCCGAUGGAUGGGUUCGCGUCCUAUCAGCUGGUUGGUGGGGUAACGGCCUACCAAGGCGAAGACGGGUAGCCGGUCUGAGAGGAUGGCCGGCCACACUGGAACUGAGACACGGUCCAGACUCCUACGGGAGGCAGCAGUGGGGAAUAUUGGGCAAUGGGGGAGACCCUGACCCAGCGACGCCGCGUGAGGGAUGAAGGUUUUCGGAUCGUAAACCUCUGUUGUACGGGAAGAAGGAUGUGACGGUACCGUACGAGGAAGCCCCGGCAAACUACGUG
This 469-nucleotide ribosomal RNA is filed under the name uncultured bacterium. Its description in RNAcentral is "bacterial SSU rRNA". It matches the Rfam family "Bacterial small subunit ribosomal RNA", at positions 28 to 507 of the family's 1533-position model. The record is from RNAcentral.